AUCAACGCUGGCGGCGUGCCUAACACCUGCCAGUCGAACGCGAAAGCCCCGCAAGGGGUCAGUAGAGUGGCAAACGGGUGCGUAACACGUGGGUGACCUGCCUUCGAGUGGGGGAUAACGUCCCGAAAGGGACGCUAAUACCGCAUGACAUCCUGCUUUUGAAAAAGCGGAGAUCAAAGCUGGGGAUCGCAAGACCUAGCGCUUGAAGAGGGGCCCGCGCCUGAUUAGCUAGUUGGUGAGGUAACGGAUCACCAAGGCGACGAUCAGUAUCCGGCCUGAGAGGGCGGACGGACAAACUGGGACGGAGACACGGCCCAGACUCCUACGGGAGGCAGCAGUGGGGAAUUGUUCGCAAUGGGCGCAAGCCUGACGACGCAACGCCGCGUGGAGGACGAAGAUCUUCGGGUCGUAAACUCCUGUCGAGCGGGACGAACGCUUCGCGGAUGAAUAAUCCGCGGAAUUGACGGUACCGCUAAAGGAAGCCCCGGCUAACUCCGUG
This 499-nucleotide ribosomal RNA is filed under the name uncultured bacterium. RNAcentral's name for it is "partial 16S ribosomal RNA". It matches the Rfam family "Bacterial small subunit ribosomal RNA", at positions 29 to 507 of the family's 1533-position model. The record is from RNAcentral.